Molecule: ribosomal RNA, 468 nt
Filed under: uncultured bacterium
Lineage: Bacteria
Description: partial 16S ribosomal RNA
Rfam family: Bacterial small subunit ribosomal RNA
Source: RNAcentral
GACGAACGCUGGCGGCGUGCUUAACACAUGCAAGUCGAACGGAAAGGCCCUGCUUUUGUGGGGUUCUCGAGUGGCGAACGCGUGAGUAACACGUGUGUAACCUGCCCUUGUCUUUCGGAUAACUUCAGGAAACUGGGGCUAAUACCGGAUAUGAUCUCCUGCUCCAUGGUGGGGGUUGGAAAGUUUCGGCGGUUGUGGAUGGACUCGCGGCUUAUCAGCUUGUUGGUUGGGUAGUUGCUUACCAAGGCUUUGACGGGUAGCCGGCCUGGGAGGGUUACCGGCCACAUGAGGACUGAGAUAGGGCCCAGACUGCAACGGGAGGCAGCAGGGGGGAGUAUGACACAGUGGGCGGGAGCCUGAUACGACAACGCCGCGUGCGGAAUGACGGCCUUCGGGUUAUAAACCGCUGUCGCCUGAGACGAAGCGUGAGUGACGGUAAUGAGUAAAGAAGCACCGGCUAACUACGUG